RNAcentral lists this ribosomal RNA (440 nucleotides) under uncultured bacterium. RNAcentral's name for it is "partial 16S ribosomal RNA". It matches the Rfam family "Bacterial small subunit ribosomal RNA", at positions 338 to 795 of the family's 1533-position model. The record is from RNAcentral.
CCUACGGGAGACAGCAGUGGGGAAUAUUGCGCAAUGGGCGAAAGCCUGACGCAGCGACGCCGCGUGAGUGAAGAAGUAAUUCGUUAUGUAAAGCUCUAUCAGCAGGGAAGAAAAUGACGGUACCUGAGUAAGAAGCCCCGGCUAACUACGUGCCAGCAGCCGCGGUACUACGUAGGGGGCAAGCGUUAUCCGGAUUUACUGGGUGUAAAGGGAGCGUAGACGGCAGUGCAAGUCUGGAGUGAAAGGCGGGGGCUCAACCCCCGGACUGCUCUGGAAACUGUACGGCUGGAGUGCAGGAGAGGUAAGUGGAAUUCCUAGUGUAGCGGUGAAAUGCGUAGAUAUUAGGAGGAACACCAGUGGCGAAGGCGGCUUACUGGACUGUAACUGACGUUGAGGCUCGAAAGCGUGGGGAGCAAACAGGAUUAGAUACCCGAGUAGUC